CUGUGAUGCAGCGAUUAAUAAGAGCAAAGGAUGUGGGAUUGAAGUGGUGUUGGGGGCUGAAGAUGGUGCUCUUCUGGGAUGCAAGUUUGGCGCCUAACCAUGGGCUUUCUCGGCCAUUGAAGGGGAAACACUUGCACUCGUGGAAGCUGUGAGGUGGUGCUGUAACUGGAAGAUUGACGACAUAAUUCUUGAAAUGGAUUGCCAAGCUCUCUAGUGGUUGUUGGUGAAGCGCGAGAACGACCGAUCAUACCUAGGGGAUACUCUGAACCAAAUCUUUGAGUUGAGCUCUACCAUUCCUCGUUGUGCUUUUAGCUGGACCCCUAGAGAGGGGAACACAACGGCCGAUCAUUUAGCUAGUUUUGCUUUACGUACUUUUUCGCCUAUUUCCUUUUCUCGGGCUAUUCCUGAUGAUGUAAACUCUAGAUUUUAUGUUUAAUUCCAAUUAUCGUCUUUCCCUCAAAAAAAAAAAAAACGAAGUCUAAAACACCAAUACAACUAAAAUAUCUGAAUACAAAUAAAUAAAAUGUAUAUUUCACAAAUAUAAAAUACAUAUUAUUAUUAAACUAUAAAAAAAACAUUUUCAAUUGUAAUUAAUUCGAAACAUUUAAUCAUAUACAAUCAAUACAAAAUGAUCUCAUAAAAUACUUGAUAAAUUGAACUUAAACAGUACUUGGUUCAAAAUAUUUACCUACUCAAUCAAUAAACAAUGAUCACAUAAAAUACUUGAAAAAAAAACUAAAAAAUGUUUCACAUAAAAAUAUGGAGUUAAAAAUCAGAAACACUUGUUCAAAAUAUAAAAAUUGAAAAAAAUCAAUAAAAAACAGCGUUUUUCCCCGGAUAAUUCUUUGAAUCGUGAUGAGUCAUAGUGUUGCAUUUCCUGUAUCUACGCAAAGGUCUUUGGGCAAGAAUCUGAGCCUUCUCAAAAUUUGAUUUUCUCGUACCACCAGCACCACUCC
Molecule: long non-coding RNA, 956 nt
Filed under: Salvia miltiorrhiza (redroot sage)
Lineage: Eukaryota; Viridiplantae; Streptophyta; Magnoliopsida; Lamiales; Lamiaceae
Description: long non-coding RNA (SMIL_LNC014157)
Source: RNAcentral